Molecule: ribosomal RNA, 253 nt
Filed under: uncultured bacterium
Lineage: Bacteria
Description: partial 16S ribosomal RNA
Rfam family: Bacterial small subunit ribosomal RNA
Source: RNAcentral
UACGGAGGGUGCAAGCGAUAUUCGGAAUCACUGGGUUUAAAGGGGUCGUAGGCGGCUAAAUAAGUCAGAGGUGAAAGCUUGCAGCUUAACUGCGAAAUUGCCUUUGAUACUGUAUAGCUUGAAAGGAGCUGAGGUCAGCAGAAUGUGGCAUGUAGCGGUGAAAUGCAUAGAUAUGCCAUAGAAUACCAAUUGCGAAGGCAGCUGGCUGGGCUUACUUUGACGCUGAGGCACGAAAGCGUGGGGAUCGAACAGG